GACGAACGCUGGCGGCGUGCUUAACACAUGCAAGUCGAACGGAAAGGCCCUGCUUUUGUGGGGUGCUCGAGUGGCGAACGGGUGAGUAACACGUGAGUAACCUGCCCUUGACUUUGGGAUAACUUCAGGAAACUGGGUCUAAUACCGGAUAGGAGCUCCUGCUGCAUGGUGGGGGUUGGAAAGUUUCGGCGGUUGGGGAUGGACUCGCGGCUUAUCAGCUUGUUGGUGGGGUAGUGGCUUACCAAGGCUUUGACGGGUAGCCGGCCUGAGAGGGUGACCGGCCACAUUGGGACUGAGAUACGGCCCAGACUCCUACGGGAGGCAGCAGUGGGGAAUAUUGCACAAUGGGCGGAAGCCUGAUGCAGCAACGCCGCGUGCGGGAUGACGGCCUUCGGGUUGUAAACCGCUUUCGCCUGUGACGAAGCGUGAGUGACGGUAAUGGGUAAAGAAGCACCGGCUAACUACGUGC
This 469-nucleotide ribosomal RNA is filed under the name uncultured bacterium. RNAcentral's name for it is "partial 16S ribosomal RNA". It matches the Rfam family "Bacterial small subunit ribosomal RNA", at positions 28 to 508 of the family's 1533-position model. The record is from RNAcentral.